Molecule: long non-coding RNA, 539 nt
Organism: Cyprinus carpio (common carp)
Lineage: Eukaryota; Metazoa; Chordata; Actinopteri; Cypriniformes; Cyprinidae
Exons: 3
Source: RefSeq, a predicted model, not a curated record
AUACCUAAAAAUUCGUCUCCGCACUUCUCUCCAAUCUCCUCUAUUUAUUCUACCUAACGGCGCUCCCAUAACUAAGGUCUGGUUCAGCUCUCAUUUAGCUACGGUUUUAAAAAACUGCGGCCUGUCUCCACUUCAAUACACCGGACAUUCCUUUAGGAUUGGCGCGGCCACUACUGCUGCUGCUGAGCAUUGAAUUCCAACAUCAACAAUCAAGUUACUGGGAAGAUGGUCGUCCUCAGCAUUCGAGUCCUACAUUAGACCCGAACAGAAAUUCAUCUCGAAGGCUCAGCAAAUAAUUUCAAGACGUUCUCAAGGAUCCUCUAAGAAAUACUUCAUUUAGAUACUGCCGCUGACGUUCCCCUCCAUCCUCCCCACCACCACCAGGUCGGCCCUGUCCAUGCGGGGGGUAGGCUCUGCCCUGCCUUCAUCUUCGGCAGGAUUAGCUGGUAUCUACAAUCUUCAGAUCCACGCUACGGAUGGGGCCUACGCCAAAUUAAUUCUGUGUUUGUUUUGUAAAUAAAUACUUCAGUCUUAUCUAC